AUAUACAACCAUAGGGUGUGGAAAACAGGGCUUCCUAUCUGCUUAGCUGUACUUAAGCCACACGCUAGCUGGUUAGUAGUUAGGUAGGUAACCACUAGUGAAUCCUAGCUGUUAUAUAUU
This 120-nucleotide ribosomal RNA is filed under the name Aspergillus viridinutans. The record is from RNAcentral. Lineage: Eukaryota; Fungi; Ascomycota; Eurotiomycetes; Eurotiales; Aspergillaceae.